Molecule: ribosomal RNA, 164 nt
Filed under: Fleroya rubrostipulata
Lineage: Eukaryota; Viridiplantae; Streptophyta; Magnoliopsida; Gentianales; Rubiaceae
Description: 5.8S ribosomal RNA
Rfam family: 5.8S ribosomal RNA
About the family: 5.8S ribosomal RNA (5.8S rRNA) is a component of the large subunit of the eukaryotic ribosome. It is transcribed by RNA polymerase I as part of the 45S precursor that also contains 18S and 28S rRNA.
Source: RNAcentral
CGAACGACUCUCGGCAAUGGAUAUCUCGGCCCUCGCAUCGAUGAAAAACAUAGCAAAAUGCGAUACUUUGUGUGAAUUGUAGAAUCACGUGAACCAUCGAGUUUUUGAACGCAAGUUGCGCCCGAAGCCGUCAGGCCAAGGGCACGUCUGCCUGGGCGUCAUGC